UACGGAAGGGGCAAGCGUUGUUCGGAAUCAUUGGGCGUAAAGGGCGCGUAGGUGGUUUUGUGUGUCUACCGUGAAAGCAUACAGCUCAACUGUAUUUUGUCGGUAGAAACUGCAGGACUUGAGGCUGGGAGGGGCUGGUGGAAUUCCCUGUGUAGCGGUGAAAUGCGUAGAUAUCAGGAGGAACACCUGCGGUGUAGACGGCUUUCUGGACCAUUACUGACACUGAGACACGAAAGCGUGGGUAGCAAACAGG
Molecule: ribosomal RNA, 253 nt
Filed under: uncultured bacterium
Lineage: Bacteria
Description: partial 16S ribosomal RNA
Rfam family: Bacterial small subunit ribosomal RNA
Source: RNAcentral